This 249-nucleotide ribosomal RNA is filed under the name Helotiales sp. B54J10. RNAcentral describes it as "partial 28S ribosomal RNA". It matches the Rfam family "Eukaryotic large subunit ribosomal RNA", at positions 1 to 245 of the family's 3401-position model. The record is from RNAcentral. Lineage: Eukaryota; Fungi; Ascomycota; Leotiomycetes; Helotiales.
UUGACCUCGGAUCAGGUAGGGAUACCCGCUGAACUUAAGCAUAUCAAUAAGCGGAGGAAAAGAAACCAACAGGGAUUGCCUCAGUAACGGCGAGUGAAGCGGCAACAGCUCAAAUUUGAAAUCUGGCUCUUUCAGGGUCCGAGUUGUAAUUUGUAGAAGAUGCUUCGGGUGUGGCUCCGGUCUAAGUUCCUUGGAACAGGACGUCAUAGAGGGUGAGAAUCCCGUAUGUGACCGGUUGCUUUCGCCCAU